UCCGGUGCUUCUAGCGACGAGGUCAUACCCGUUCCCAUCCCGAACACGGAAGUCAAGCUCGUCAGCGCUGAUGGUACUUGGGCAUAAGCCCCGGGAGAGUAAGUCAGUGCCGGGG
Molecule: ribosomal RNA, 115 nt
Filed under: Parcubacteria group bacterium
Lineage: Bacteria
Source: RNAcentral